AUGCUCACUUCAGCAGUACAUAUACACAAAAAUUGGAACAAUACAGAAAAGAUUUUCAUGGCCCUGCACAGGAUGACACAAAUUCAUGUAGUGUUCUAUGUAUUU
RNAcentral lists this small nuclear RNA (105 nucleotides) under Moschus moschiferus (Siberian musk deer). The record is from RNAcentral. Lineage: Eukaryota; Metazoa; Chordata; Mammalia; Artiodactyla; Moschidae.